GAUAUUGAAGUCUUGUCAUAAAGUCUGUAAUCAUUUCCUGGAAGGUCCUAAGAACACUGUCAUUAUAGAUUAAAAGGUGAAUAUACUUAGAUAAGAAAAGAGGAGACAUGGACUCUGCAGAAGUUUAAGCAACCCUGGACUGCAGGACGUCAUUGUCUUGGUUCCAAACAUCAGAAAAGGUGUUCUUUGUCACAGAGUGCCUGAAACAUUGCUGAAAGAUUGGUCGAUUUUUGGUGAAGGAGAAGAGUUGACUCAAAAAUAUGUGAGUACCAAUAUUCCCUCACUCAUCCUAGCUUAUACAAAAAUAAAUUAUUUUGAAAAGGAUAUUUUGCAAAAGGAUAGUCACAAAUAGGAUAGUUGGACUAGCUGUUUGGUUGCAGUAGUGUUGUUUAGUUUUCUCAUUUGUUUAACACUGGAAUGCCUUACCUUAUCUUAGAUACAUAUAUUCUUCUCUUUUCAGACUGUGUGUUGUAAAAAUGAAGAGUGAACAGGCAUUCACAUAAUUAGUUUGGCAUGUGCAGUACUGUUUCAAAGAACUAAUAGGCUUCUUGUACCCUAUUAACAAGUCAUUGUCUCCAGAGAGAGAAUUUGAUUGGCUGUCUUAGGUCAACUGAUUAUUAUAAUUCAAUUACCAAUAUUUUAUGCUAUAAUUAUUACUGAAAUGAGAUGAUGGGGCAGAAAUAGUCUUAGAUAAGGGGAGGAGAGAGUGUCACAUGAUCCAACCAUUGUCUACUCUAUUUCAGUAGGGGCACUCUCUGCAUUUCAAAUAUCUCAACGUGGGGAUGUUUACCACGUUAUAUUCUUUGGUGAAACAACCAGUGGUCAACACUUUUCACCCUGGCUAAAAGAAACUCUGGAUGUUAAAAUCCUCGGCAAACACACAACUUAGAUCGCAGUCCCACUAAGUCUAGGCUACUUUCUCUCACUACUAAGAAGGUCUAGUGACUUCAUUGGUGUCUUCCACACACAGCUACUCCAAGGGGUGGCUGUGUAUUUAUUAAACACCACCAGCACUCAUUAUGGAGGUGU
Long non-coding RNA from Peromyscus leucopus (white-footed mouse), 1029 nucleotides. RefSeq lists it as uncharacterized. The transcript is spliced from 3 exons. NCBI's taxonomy places the organism in Eukaryota, Metazoa, Chordata, Mammalia, Rodentia, Cricetidae. The record is from RefSeq and is a predicted model, not a curated record.